RNAcentral lists this transfer RNA (89 nucleotides) under Alphaproteobacteria bacterium. Its description in RNAcentral is "tRNA-Ser". It matches the Rfam family "tRNA". From Rfam's summary of the family: Transfer RNA (tRNA) molecules are approximately 80 nucleotides in length. Lineage: Bacteria; Pseudomonadati; Pseudomonadota; Alphaproteobacteria. The record is from RNAcentral.
GGAGAGAUGCCGGAGUGGUCGAACGGGGCGGUCUCGAAAACCGUUGUGCCUUAUGGGCACCGAGGGUUCGAAUCCCUCUCUCUCCUCCA